RNAcentral lists this ribosomal RNA (415 nucleotides) under Ectomocoris sp. CW-2009. RNAcentral's name for it is "partial 28S ribosomal RNA". It matches the Rfam family "Eukaryotic large subunit ribosomal RNA", at positions 653 to 980 of the family's 3401-position model. The record is from RNAcentral. Lineage: Eukaryota; Metazoa; Arthropoda; Insecta; Hemiptera; Reduviidae.
CUUGAAACACGGACCAAGGAGUUUAUCGUGUACGCAAGUCAUUGGGUUAGCUAAACCCAAAGGCGAAAUGAAAGUAAAUAGUGUUUAAUUUUUUAUUUUACACUUAAGGGAAGAUAAAAACUGUUUGUAGAUUUUAAAUUUUUUUUUUUAUAGAAAAAAAUUUAGUUUACAUGAUGGUUUUUCGCACUCCCAGGGCGCUUGUGUUCUCGCUUUGCGAGUCGAUGCGCACCUAGAGCGUACACGCUGAUACCCGAAAGAUGGUGAACUAUGCCUGGCCAGGACGAAGCCAGGGGAAACCCUGGUGGAGGUCCGCAGCGAUUCUGACGUGCAAAUCGAUCGUCGGAGCUGGGUAUAGGGGCGAAAGACCAAUCGAACCAUCUAGUAGCUGGUUCCCUCUGAAGUUUCCCUCAGGAUA